CAGCCGCCGCGGGAAUACAGAGGGUGCGAGCGUUAAUCGGAUUUACUGGGCGUAAAGCGUGCGUAGGCGGCUUCUUAAGUCGGAUGUGAAAUCCCUGAGCUUAACUUAGGAAUUGCAUUCGAUACUGGGAAGCUAGAGUAUGGGAGAGGAUGGUAGAAUUCCAGGUGUAGCGGUGAAAUGCGUAGAGAUCUGGAGGAAUACCGAUGGCGAAGGCAGCCAUCUGGCCUAAUACUGACGCUGAGGCUCGAAAGCGUGGGGAGCAAACAGGAUUAGAUACCCCUGUAGUCCCUGUCUCUUAUAC
This 301-nucleotide ribosomal RNA is filed under the name uncultured bacterium. Its description in RNAcentral is "partial 16S ribosomal RNA". It matches the Rfam family "Bacterial small subunit ribosomal RNA", at positions 509 to 807 of the family's 1533-position model. The record is from RNAcentral.